UACAGAGGGUGCGAGCGUUGUUCGGAAUUAUUGGGCGUAAAGGGCGCGUAGGCGGUGCGGUAAGUCACCUGUGAAAUCUCCUGGCUCAACUGGGAGCUUGCAGGCGAAACUGCCGUGCUGGAGUGUGGGAGAGGUGCGUGGAAUUCCCGGUGUAGCGGUGAAGUGCGUAGAUAUCGGGAGGAACACCUGUGGCGAAAGCGGCGCACUGGACCACAACUGACGCUGAGGCGCGAAAGCUAGGGGAGCAAACAGG
This 253-nucleotide ribosomal RNA is filed under the name uncultured bacterium. RNAcentral's name for it is "partial 16S ribosomal RNA". It matches the Rfam family "Bacterial small subunit ribosomal RNA", at positions 524 to 776 of the family's 1533-position model. The record is from RNAcentral.